This 206-nucleotide ribosomal RNA is filed under the name uncultured bacterium. Its description in RNAcentral is "partial 16S ribosomal RNA". It matches the Rfam family "Bacterial small subunit ribosomal RNA", at positions 568 to 774 of the family's 1533-position model. The record is from RNAcentral.
AGCGCAGGCGGUUAGAUAAGUCUGAAGUUAAAGGCUGUGGCUUAACCAUAGUACGCUUUGGAAACUGUUUAACUUGAGUGCAGAAGGGGAGAGUGGAAUUCCAUGUGUAGCGGUGAAAUGCGUAGAUAUAUGGAGGAACACCGGUGGCGAAAGCGGCUCUCUGGUCUGUAACUGACGCUGAGGCUCGAAAGCGUGGGGAGCAAACA